RNAcentral lists this ribosomal RNA (253 nucleotides) under uncultured bacterium. Its description in RNAcentral is "partial 16S ribosomal RNA". It matches the Rfam family "Bacterial small subunit ribosomal RNA", at positions 524 to 776 of the family's 1533-position model. The record is from RNAcentral.
UACAGAGGGUGCGAGCGUUGUUCGGAAUUAUUGGGCGUAAAGGGCGCGUAGGCGGCCUUGCGUGUCUUUCGUGAAAUCCCUCGGCUUAACUGAGGACGUGCGGAAGAAACUGCAGGGCUUGAGUCCGGGAGAGGGGGGUGGAAUUCCCAGUGUAGCGGUGAAAUGCGUAGAUAUUGGGAGGAACACCGGUGGCGAAGGCGGCCCCCUGGACCGGUACUGACGCUGAGGCGCGAAAGCGUGGGGAGCAAACGGG